UCUUCAAUAACCUAUUUUUGCUCAAUUACGGGCUGCUUAACGAGAAGUUCGAUUGCUGGUAUCUCCGUCUUAACGCAGUAGAAGACACCGGAGUCUGAGACCUCGAUGAUCGAUUGGACCGGUCUCAAGUAUCGUUCGAAAGCCUUCUUCACUAUUCAUUUUGGGAAACUUUCAAACUUUCGAUUUUGUGAAAUUGAGCUCACUUGAUCAGAUCGGAGGAUCCGAUUGAGCAAUCAGAGAUAUAUGAGAGAUUAAGCUCCAGAGUGAGAGACAGAUAGGGAGGGGACUUUUCUCUGCCAAUCAGAAGAAAAUGAUUUGCUGAGGGAAAGUCUAGAGAGGAGGAAGGGAUGUCUUGGUCGAUUUCAGUCUGUUCCCAAUUUGGGAAUUUCUGUUUCACAUUCAAAGUUUCAAUCUUUAAAGGCAAUGGCAGUCUCCCCAAGCUAAAGACUCCCCCUCUGAGGAGUGUAUUGAAGCACGGUUGAGAUAUCUCAAAAGCCAGAAAGAGAAACUCAAAUCUUGCAUUAUAUAUGACUGAUCUUCAGUGCUUUGUAAACUCGAAACAAUUUUAGGGACAUGAAACUUUGUCUUUUAUUGUAAAUUGUUUGCAACAACAAACCCCGCAGCAAAGCGCGGUACCAUUACUAGUUAAUAUGAAGCCUGGACCAACUUCAGAGAGGAAUUUUGGUCUCUUUCAACCAAAUGGAACUAAAGCCUACAAUCUGGGCUUGACCUCAACUACUAAUUCAAUUCAUACGACUAAUUCCUCAGGCACCAGGGUAGCAACAAUAGGAAGCUGGGUGUACUUGAUCAUGUUUGUUGCUUUGCUGACCUUCGAAGUAUGAAAUUGGCUUCUCUGCUAUAACUAUAAUUUGCUAGAAAAAAAAGUGCAUCAUCUGGCCCUUAAAACUUCUUGAUGUUUCUUGAUGUGACAUCAGCUGACCCUUAAAACUAUAUCUGACGGUUGUGAUAGAAUCCAAGCAAAUUAUAGCAUGUCAUAUUAUAGCAGAG
Rosa rugosa (rugosa rose) is the source of this 1008-nucleotide long non-coding RNA. RefSeq lists it as uncharacterized. Lineage: Eukaryota; Viridiplantae; Streptophyta; Magnoliopsida; Rosales; Rosaceae. The record is from RefSeq and is a predicted model, not a curated record. The transcript is spliced from 4 exons.